AGACCACUGCUAUUGGGGUUCGAUUAAGCCAUGCGAGUGGAGGGCAGUUCGGCUGCCCCGCGUACGGCUCAGUAACACGUAGUCAACCUACCCUUGGGUCGGGUAUAACCCCGGGAAACUGGGGAUAAUCCCCGAUAGGUGGGGGUACUGUAAAAGUCCCUCUCCCAAAGCUCAGGCGCCCAAGGACGGGACUGCGGCCCAUCAGGUAGUUGGCGGGGUAACGGCCCACCAAGCCGACAACGGGUACGGGCUGUGAGAGCAGGAGCCCGGAGAUGGAGACUGAGACACGGCUCCAGGCCCUACGGGGCGCAGCAGGUGCGAAAACUUCGCAAUGCGCGCAAGCGUGAACGAGGGAACCCCAAGUGCCGAUGGUCUUUUUGAUCGUCGGCUUUUCGAAGAGUUCAAAACGCUCUUGGAAUGAGAAGCGGGGUAAGACUGGUGCCAGCCGCCGCGGUAACACCAGCAGCUCAAGUGGUGGUCGCGAUUAUUGGGCCUAAAGCGUCCGUAGCCGGGGCCAGUAAGUCCUUUGUGAAAUCGGGCGGCUCAACCCGUUCGGCUUGCAGGGGAAACUACAGGCCCUUGGGGCCGGUAGACGUUGAGGGUACUCCGGGGGUAGCGGUGAAAUGCUCUAAUCCCUGGGGGACCACCAGUGGCGAAGGCGCUCAACGAGAACGGACCUGACGGUGAGGGACGAAGGCUAGGGGAGCGAACCGGAUUAGAUACCCGGGUAGUCCUAGCUGUAAAGUAUGCUGGCCAGGUGUAGGGCGCUCCACGAGGGCGCCCGGUGCCGUAGGGAAGCCGUUAAGCCAGCCGCCUGGGAAGUACGGCCGCAAGGCUGAAACUUAAAGAAAUUGGCGGGGGAGCACCACAAAGGGGUGGAGCCUGCGGUUUAAUUGGAUUCAACGCCGGACAACUCACCGGGGGCGACGGCAGUUUGAUGGCCAGGUCGACGACCUUGCUUGACGAGCCGAGAGGUGGUGCAUGGCCGCCGUCAGCUCGUACUGUGAAGCGUCCUGUUAACCCAGGCCACGAGCGAGACCCUCAUCUCUAGUUGCCACCAGUUAAAUGCUGAGCACUCUAGGGAGGACCGCUGUCGCUAAGGCAGAGGAAGGAGAGGGCGACGGUAGGUCCGUAUGCCCCGAAUCCCCCGGGCUACACGCGGGCUACAAUGCGCAGGACAAAGAGCUGCGACUCCGUAAGGAGGAGCCAAACUCAUAAACCUGCGCCUAGUUCGGGUCGAGGGCUGAAACUCGCCCUCGUGAAGCUGGAAUCCCUAGUAAUCGCGUGCCAUUAUCGCGCGGUGAAUACGUCCCUGCUCCUUGCACACACCGCCCGUCAAACCAUUCGAGUGGGGUUUGGAUGAGGCCCGUCUCAGUUGGACAGGUCGAAUCCGGGUUCUGCAAGAAGGGUUAAGUCGUAAC
This 1421-nucleotide ribosomal RNA is filed under the name uncultured archaeon. RNAcentral describes it as "16S ribosomal RNA". It matches the Rfam family "Archaeal small subunit ribosomal RNA". The record is from RNAcentral.